This is a long non-coding RNA of Aedes albopictus (Asian tiger mosquito), 1221 nucleotides long. RefSeq lists it as uncharacterized. NCBI's taxonomy places the organism in Eukaryota, Metazoa, Arthropoda, Insecta, Diptera, Culicidae. The transcript is spliced from 2 exons. The record is from RefSeq and is a predicted model, not a curated record.
UUCGAUGAGUGAUACGUCUGUUUGUCUGUGGGCAACGGUUAAAUCCCAAUCCUUUCUGACUUGCUAGAAGGUGCACAAAACUGUCAAAUUACAAAAAAGUACCUACUCAUAAAUUGGUCAGUGAUUCACUCUUCAGAAAUUACUCACCCUAAGCUUAUGAUGCUUCAUACUUUAUGAUAUUUUCCAAACAUAAAUUCAGAUUGAAAAAAAAAUAUUUCGAUUUCAAAUGUUAUAAUUAAUCGUUAUGUUCUUUACGUAAUUAACAACAGUUACGGCAAGUAUAACAAUAGAACAAUUCGAAUGGUCCCCCAUUGUAGAUGCACUCGUAUGUUUAGGCCGUUCGCAAUGCUGUUUUAUUUCGUAUGGCGAGUUUUAAAAUAAAACUGGAACUAAAACAGCACGUCCACAAUGCUGAGUUGCAGUUUUAUUUUUCGAGCACUUAUUUGAAACUCAUUUACAACUGCUCGACAGGUUUGUUUUAAAUUGUGGUUGAUUUAAAACUGGAAUUCAACUUUGUUUUAUUUUCAAACUUGUCAUUCUUGCGUUGUAUGUGUGUGCUGUGACGAUGUUUUUAUUGAUUUCAACUGGCAGGCAGCUCCGUCAACAAUAUGAAAAGUGAAAUGCCGAGAAUGAAUUGCAUUAUUUCUUUGGCAAUUUUGUGCGGGAAGUGAUACCCGGUCGUCAGCAGCAGAUAUCAGAGCACAUAUUUAUCAUAGCAGGUGGGUUCAGAUAACGCUGCACUUGGUCCACUCACCAUGAUCUCUGCGCUUUACCGCUUCCCACGGAUGGGUCUGCAGGAGCCGGAGCUUCCCCCGGCAAAUGACGAUACGGAGGACGACGACCGAUCAAUCCGGAUCGAUGCGGGCAUAUGAAUCACCAUCACACGCCACCCAGCACACCAUCGCCCGGGCUUUCGGUUGGAAAAUGGGCCAAAAUUGCAGUUGAGCGAUUACGGAAAUCAGAAAGGGGCGGUUACGGAUGCCGCCUACUAGGUCGUUUACAUCAGUGUGACGGCAGGAGGAAUCGUCGAAAGGAGGAGUGAAAUGUACGUUUUUAAACAAAUUACGCAAACAUUAGAGAUUGUGCUUUCUUUACUCCUUGCAUGAAUUGAUCAGGGCUAGUAGGUUCACCAUUUUCUCACAAGUUGCAAAGUGACGCAUUAGAUAGAUAAAUGAGACACCUUUCCAUAUUCUUUUAAAUACAAACGUUAUUCAUUAUGCA